Molecule: ribosomal RNA, 430 nt
Filed under: uncultured bacterium
Lineage: Bacteria
Description: bacterial SSU rRNA
Rfam family: Bacterial small subunit ribosomal RNA
Source: RNAcentral
UGAGGAAUAUUGGGCAAUGCACGCAAGUGUGACCCAGCAACGCCGCGUGAACGAUGAAGGCCUUUUGGUCGUAAAGUUCUGUGAGGAGGGAUGGAAGGUCUGUUUCCGAUAAAGGAAUAGAUUUGACCGUACCUCCAGAGGAAGCCCCGGCUAACUACGUGCCAGCAGCCGCGGUAAUACGUAGGGGGCAAGCGUUGUCCGGAUUUACUGGGUGUAAAGGGCGCGUAGGCGGGUCGGUCAGUCAGAGGUGAAAGCCUGCAGCUUAACUGCAGAACUGCCUUUGAUACUGCCGAUCUUGAGUAUGGAAGAGAGAAGCGGAAUUCCGGGUGUAGUAGUGAAAUACGUAGAUAUCCGGAAGAACACCGGUGGCGAAGGCGGCUUCUUGGUCCAUUACUGACGCUCAGGCGCGAAAGCGUGGGUAGCAAACAGG